Molecule: ribosomal RNA, 3996 nt
Filed under: Triticum aestivum (bread wheat)
Lineage: Eukaryota; Viridiplantae; Streptophyta; Magnoliopsida; Poales; Poaceae
Description: partial small subunit ribosomal RNA
Source: RNAcentral
AUGUCUUGUAGAUCAAUGGCCAACGCUAAUGUCAACAUGAACUUCAACGCGUUCCUAGAGAAAACCAAGCUGAAAGAUGAUGGAAGCAACUAUACGGACUGGGUUCGGAACCUGAGGAUCAUCCUCAUAGCUGCCAGAAAGCAAUAUGUCCUAGAAGGACCGCUAGGUGACGCUCCCGUCCCAGAGAACCAAGACGUUAUGAACGCUUGGCAAGCUCGUGCUGAUGAUUACUCCCUCGUUCAGUGCGGCAUGCUUUACAGCUUAGAACCGGGGCUCCAAAAGCGUUUUGAGCACCACGGAGCAUAUGAGAUGUUCGAAGAGCUGAAACUAGUUUUCCAAGCUCAUGCCCGGGUCGAGAGAUAUGAUGUCUCUGACAAGUUCUACAGUUGUAAGAUGGAGGAAAACAGUUCUGUCAGUGAGCACAUCCUGAAGAUGUCUGGGUUGCACAACCGUAUGACCCAGCUGAACAUAAACCUCCCAGAUGAGGCGGUCAUUGACAGAAUCCUCCAGUCGCUCCCACCAAGCUACAAGAGCUUUGUGAUGAACUACAACAUGCAGGGGAUGGUAAAGACCAUUCCUGAAGUGUUCUCGAUGCUGAAGUCAGCAGAGGCUGAAAUCAAGAAAGAACAUCAAGUGUUGAUGGUCAAUAAGACCACUAAGUUCAAGAAGGGCAAGGGUAAGAAGAACUUCAAGAAGGACGGCAAAGAUGUUGCCGCGCCCGGUAAGCCUGUUGCCGGGAAGAAGUCAAAGAAUGGACCCAAGCCUGAGACUGAGUGCUUUUAUUGCAAGGGGAAGGGUCACUGGAAGCGGAACUGCCCCAAAUACUUAGCGGAUAAGAAGGCCGGCAACACCAAAGGUAUAUUUGAUAUACAUGUGAUUGAUGUGUACCUUACCAGUACUCGUAGUAACUCCUGGGUAUUUGAUACUGGUGUCGUUGCUCAUAUUUGUAACUCACAGCAGGAGCUGCGGAAUAAACGGAGACUGGCGAAGGACGAGGUGACUAUGCGCGUCGGGAAUGGUUCCAGAGUCGAUGUGAUCGCCGUCGGCACGCUGCCUCUACAUUUACCUACGGGAUUAGUUUUGAACCUUAACAAUUGUUAUUUAGUGCCAUGUUUGAGCAUGAACAUUGUAUCUGGAUCUCGUUUAAUACGAGAUGGCUACUCAUUUAAGUCUGAGAAUAAUGGUUGUUCGAUUUAUAUGAGAGAUAUGUUUUAUGGUCAUGCUCCAAUGGUCAAUGGUUUAUUCUUAAUGAAUCUCGAGCAUAAUGUUACACAUGUUCAUAGUGUGGAUGCCAAAAGAUGUAAAGUUGAUAACGAUAGUCCCACAUACUUGUGGCACUGCCGCCUUGGUCACAUUGGUGUCAAGCGCAUGAAGAAGCUCCAUGCUGAUGGACUUUUGGAGUCUCUUGAUUAUGAAUCGUUUGACACAUGCGAACCAUGCCUCUUGGGAAAAAUGACCAAGACUCCGUUCUCCGGAACAAUGGAGCGAGCAACCAACUUGUUGGAAAUCAUACAUACCGAUGUGUGCGGUCCAAUGAGCGUUGAGGCUCGCGGAGGAUAUCGUUAUGUUCUCACUCUCACUGAUGACUUGAGUAGAUAUGGGUAUGUCUACUUAAUGAAACACAAGUCUGAGACCUUUGAAAAGUUCAAGGAAUUUCAGAGUGAGGUAGAGAAUCAACGUGACCGAAAGAUAAAAUUCUUACGAUCAGAUCGUGGAGGAGAAUACUUAAGUCACGAAUUUGGUACACACUUAAGGAAAUGUGGAAUCGUUUCACAACUCACGCCGCCUGGAACACCUCAGCGAAACGGUGUGUCCGAACGUCGUAAUCGCACUCUAUUGGAUAUGGUGCGGUCUAUGAUGUCUCUUACCGAUUUACCGCUAUCAUUUUGGGGAUACGCUCUAGAGACAGCUACAUUCACUUUAAAUAGGGCACCGUCUAAAUCCGUUGAGACGACACCGUAUGAAUUAUGGUUUGGAAAGAAACCUAAGCUGUCAUUUCUAAAAGUUUGGGGAUGCGAUGCUUAUGUCAAGAAACUUCAACCUGAAAAGCUCGAACCCAAGUCGGAAAAAUGCGUAUUCAUAGGAUACCCUAAGGAAACUGUCGGGUAUACCUUCUACUUAAGAUCCGAAGGCAAGAUCUUUGUUGCCAAGAAUGGAUGCUUUCUGGAAAAAGAGUUUCUCUCGAAAGAAGUAAGUGGGAGGAAAGUAGAACUCGAUGAAGUACUACCUCUUGAACGGGAAAGUGGCACAGCGCAGGAAACCGUUCCUGUGAUGCCCACACCAACUGAAGAGGAAAACAAUGAUGAUGAUCAAGGUACUUCGGAUCAAGUUACUACUGAACUUCGUAGGUCCACAAGGACACGUUCCGCACCAGAGUGGUACGGCAACCCUGUCCUGGAAAUCAUGUUGUUAGACAACAAUGAACCUUCGAACUAUGAAGAAGCGAUGGCGGGCCCGGAUUCCAACAAAUGGCUUGGAGCCAUGAAAUCCGAGAUAGAAUCCAUGUAUGAAAACAAAGUAUGGACUUUGACAGACUUGCCCGAUGAUCGGCGAGCGAUAGAAAACAAAUGGAUUUUUAAGAAGAAGACGGACGCGGAUGGUAAUGUUACCAUCUAUAAGGCUCGACUUGUCGCUAAGGGUUAUCGACAAGUUCAAGGGAUUGACUACGACGAGACUUUCUCUCCCGUAGCGAAGCUGAAGUCCGUCCGAAUCAUGUUAGCAAUUGCCGCAUACUAUGAUUAUGAGAUAUGGCAGAUGGACGUCAAAACGGCAUUCCUUAACGGACAUCUUAAGGAAGAGUUGUAUAUGAUGCAGCCAGAAGGUUUUGUCGAUCCUCGGAACGCUAACAAAGUAUGCAAGCUCCAGCGAUCCAUUUAUGGACUGGUGCAAGCAUCUCGGAGUUGGAACAUUCGCUUUGAUGAGAUGAUCAAAGCGUUUGGGUUUGCGCAAACUUAUGGAGAAGCCUGCGUUUACAAGAAAGUGAGUGGGAGCUCUGUAGCAUUUCUCAUAUUAUAUGUAGAUGACAUACUCUUGAUGGGAAAUGAUACGAAACUUCUGGACAGCAUUAAGGCCUACUUGAACAAGUGUUUUUCAAUGAAGGACCUUGGAGAAGCUGCUUAUAUAUUAGGCAUCAAGAUCUAUAGAGAUAGAUCGAGACGCUUCAUAGGUCUUUCACAAAGCACAUACCUUGAUAAGAUUUUGAAGAGGUUUAAAAUGGAUCAGUCCAAGAAGGGGUUCUUGCCUAUGUUACAAGGUGUGAGACUGAGCUCGGCUCAGUCACCGACCACGGCAAAAGAUAAAGAAGAGAUGAGUGUCAUCCCCUAUGCUUCAGCCAUAGGAUCUAUUAUGUAUGCCAUGCUGUGUACCAGACCCGAUAUAAACCUUGCCGUAAGUUUGGUAGCAAGAUACCAAAGUAAUCCCGGCAAGGAACACUGGACAGCGGUCAAGAAUAUCCUGAGGUACCUGAAAAGGACGAAGGACAUGUUUCUCGUUUAUGGAGGAGACGAAGAGCUCGUCGUAAAGGGUUACGUCGACGCUAGCUUCGACUCAGAUCUGGAUGAAUCUAAGUCACAAACCGGAUACGUGUAUAUGUUGAAUGGUGGAGCAGUAAGCUGGUGCAGCUGCAAGCAGAGCGUCGUGGCGGGAUCUACGUGUGAAGUGGAGUACAUGGCAGCCUCGGAGGCAGCGCAUGAAGCGAUUUGGGUGAAGGAGUUCAUCACCGACCUAGGAGUCAUACCCAAUGCGUCGGGGCCGAUCAAACUCUUCUAUGACAACACUGGAGCUAUUGCCCUUGCCAAGGAGCCCAGGUUUCACAAGAAGACCAGGCACAUCAAGCGUCGUUUCAACUCCAUCCGUGAAAAUGUUCAAGAUGGAGACAUAGAGAUUUGCAAAGUGCACACGGAUCUGAAUGUCGCAGAUCCGCUGACUAAACCUCUCUCGCGUGCAAAACAUGAUCAACACCAGAACUCUAUGGGUGUUCGAUUCAUCACAAUGUAA